AUGGGACCCGCAGUUCGGCUGUCCGUGGCGGCCGCUCUCCUCUCCUGCCUAUGUUUACAUGGGCUGUUGGGGAAUUCCGGGCAGGCAUUUGCUCAGGGCCCGCCGGUGCUCCACCGGAUCGACCACGCGGAGGAAGAUGACGACAGCGGCGGCCUCAUGCCGGAGCUCUCGCCAACCGGCUCCCCCCAGCCCUUCGUCCCCUUCCUCGCGCCCGCCCCUCUCGCGCCCUUCUACAACAACUCUACGCCCAAGUUGUCAGGCAAAUGCUCACUGAACUUCACUGCCAUCAAUGGCCUGAUGACCACCACGGCCGUCGAUUGCUUCGCCUCAUUCGCCCCGUUCCUCGCCAAUGUCAUCUGCUGUCCCCAGCUCCAGGCCACUCUCACCAUCCUCAUAGGACAGUCCAGCAAGCAGACGGGGUCUCUCGCUUUGGAUCCCACUCUUGCCAACUACUGUCUCUCUGACGUCCAGCAGCUGCUCAUGAGCCAGGGUGCGAGUGAUAAUCUCCACAGCAUUUGCUCCGUCCACCUCUCCAAUGCCACCGAGGGGUCGUGCCCCGUUAGCACCGUCGACGCAUUUGAGAGCGUCGUCGACUCAUCAAAGCUCCUUGAGGCCUGCCGGAAGGUCGACCCUGUUAACGAGUGCUGCAGCCAGACAUGCCAGAGUGCUAUAAGUGAUGCUGCCCGCAAAAUCUCUUCUAAGGACGCUGCGUUGACAAGCGACACUGCCAGUCCCAAAGUUGACAGUUGCAGGAACGUUGUACUUAGAUGGUUAUCCAGCAGGCUUGAGCCAUCAUCCGCAACCAAAAUGCUCAGGCAGAUAUCAAACUGUAAUGUCAAUGGAGGGAAACAAUGGGAGACACCGCGGUUUACCAUCGAGGUCCUGCUGUCAGAGGCUUAG
RNAcentral lists this ribosomal RNA (900 nucleotides) under Triticum aestivum (bread wheat). RNAcentral's name for it is "partial small subunit ribosomal RNA". The record is from RNAcentral. Lineage: Eukaryota; Viridiplantae; Streptophyta; Magnoliopsida; Poales; Poaceae.